This 69-nucleotide unclassified non-coding RNA is filed under the name Pedobacter terrae. RNAcentral's name for it is "Flavo-1 RNA". The record is from RNAcentral. Lineage: Bacteria; Pseudomonadati; Bacteroidota; Sphingobacteriia; Sphingobacteriales; Sphingobacteriaceae.
AAAUAAACCCGAUGGGAGUGGUAGCUGCCAGCCUCGCGCGGGCACUGCAAACGGACAGCGGGACUAAAA